Molecule: ribosomal RNA, 2415 nt
Filed under: Escherichia coli
Lineage: Bacteria; Pseudomonadati; Pseudomonadota; Gammaproteobacteria; Enterobacterales; Enterobacteriaceae
Description: partial 23S ribosomal RNA
Rfam family: Bacterial large subunit ribosomal RNA
Source: RNAcentral
UGUGAGCUCGAUGAGUAGGGCGGGACACGUGGUAUCCUGUCUGAAUAUGGGGGGACCAUCCUCCAAGGCUAAAUACUCCUGACUGACCGAUAGUGAACCAGUACCGUGAGGGAAAGGCGAAAAGAACCCCGGCGAGGGGAGUGAAAAAGAACCUGAAACCGUGUACGUACAAGCAGUGGGAGCACGCUUAGGCGUGUGACUGCGUACCUUUUGUAUAAUGGGUCAGCGACUUAUAUUCUGUAGCAAGGUUAACCGAAUAGGGGAGCCGAAGGGAAACCGAGUCUUAACUGGGCGUUAAGUUGCAGGGUAUAGACCCGAAACCCGGUGAUCUAGCCAUGGGCAGGUUGAAGGUUGGGUAACACUAACUGGAGGACCGAACCGACUAAUGUUGAAAAAUUAGCGGAUGACUUGUGGCUGGGGGUGAAAGGCCAAUCAAACCGGGAGAUAGCUGGUUCUCCCCGAAAGCUAUUUAGGUAGCGCCUCGUGAAUUCAUCUCCGGGGGUAGAGCACUGUUUCGGCAAGGGGGUCAUCCCGACUUACCAACCCGAUGCAAACUGCGAAUACCGGAGAAUGUUAUCACGGGAGACACACGGCGGGUGCUAACGUCCGUCGUGAAGAGGGAAACAACCCAGACCGCCAGCUAAGGUCCCAAAGUCAUGGUUAAGUGGGAAACGAUGUGGGAAGGCCCAGACAGCCAGGAUGUUGGCUUAGAAGCAGCCAUCAUUUAAAGAAAGCGUAAUAGCUCACUGGUCGAGUCGGCCUGCGCGGAAGAUGUAACGGGGCUAAACCAUGCACCGAAGCUGCGGCAGCGACGCUUAUGCGUUGUUGGGUAGGGGAGCGUUCUGUAAGCCUGCGAAGGUGUGCUGUGAGGCAUGCUGGAGGUAUCAGAAGUGCGAAUGCUGACAUAAGUAACGAUAAAGCGGGUGAAAAGCCCGCUCGCCGGAAGACCAAGGGUUCCUGUCCAACGUUAAUCGGGGCAGGGUGAGUCGACCCCUAAGGCGAGGCCGAAAGGCGUAGUCGAUGGGAAACAGGUUAAUAUUCCUGUACUUGGUGUUACUGCGAAGGGGGGACGGAGAAGGCUAUGUUGGCCGGGCGACGGUUGUCCCGGUUUAAGCGUGUAGGCUGGUUUUCCAGGCAAAUCCGGAAAAUCAAGGCUGAGGCGUGAUGACGAGGCACUACGGUGCUGAAGCAACAAAUGCCCUGCUUCCAGGAAAAGCCUCUAAGCAUCAGGUAACAUCAAAUCGUACCCCAAACCGACACAGGUGGUCAGGUAGAGAAUACCAAGGCGCUUGAGAGAACUCGGGUGAAGGAACUAGGCAAAAUGGUGCCGUAACUUCGGGAGAAGGCACGCUGAUAUGUAGGUGAAGUCCCUCGCGGAUGGAGCUGAAAUCAGUCGAAGAUACCAGCUGGCUGCAACUGUUUAUUAAAAACACAGCACUGUGCAAACACGAAAGUGGACGUAUACGGUGUGACGCCUGCCCGGUGCCGGAAGGUUAAUUGAUGGGGUUAGCGCAAGCGAAGCUCUUGAUCGAAGCCCCGGUAAACGGCGGCCGUAACUAUAACGGUCCUAAGGUAGCGAAAUUCCUUGUCGGGUAAGUUCCGACCUGCACGAAUGGCGUAAUGAUGGCCAGGCUGUCUCCACCCGAGACUCAGUGAAAUUGAACUCGCUGUGAAGAUGCAGUGUACCCGCGGCAAGACGGAAAGACCCCGUGAACCUUUACUAUAGCUUGACACUGAACAUUGAGCCUUGAUGUGUAGGAUAGGUGGGAGGCUUUGAAGUGUGGACGCCAGUCUGCAUGGAGCCGACCUUGAAAUACCACCCUUUAAUGUUUGAUGUUCUAACGUGGACCCGUAAUCCGGGUUGCGGACAGUGUCUGGUGGGUAGUUUGACUGGGGCGGUCUCCUCCUAAAGAGUAACGGAGGAGCACGAAGGUUGGCUAAUCCUGGUCGGACAUCAGGAGGUUAGUGCAAUGGCAUAAGCCAGCUUGACUGCGAGCGUGACGGCGCGAGCAGGUGCGAAAGCAGGUCAUAGUGAUCCGGUGGUUCUGAAUGGAAGGGCCAUCGCUCAACGGAUAAAAGGUACUCCGGGGAUAACAGGCUGAUACCGCCCAAGAGUUCAUAUCGACGGCGGUGUUUGGCACCUCGAUGUCGGCUCAUCACAUCCUGGGGCUGAAGUAGGUCCCAAGGGUAUGGCUGUUCGCCAUUUAAAGUGGUACGCGAGCUGGGUUUAGAACGUCGUGAGACAGUUCGGUCCCUAUCUGCCGUGGGCGCUGGAGAACUGAGGGGGGCUGCUCCUAGUACGAGAGGACCGGAGUGGACGCAUCACUGGUGUUCGGGUUGUCAUGCCAAUGGCACUGCCCGGUAGCUAAAUGCGGAAGAGAUAAGUGCUGAAAGCAUCUAAGCACGAAACUUGCC